This is a long non-coding RNA of Cicer arietinum (chickpea), 895 nucleotides long. RefSeq lists it as uncharacterized. The record is from RefSeq and is a predicted model, not a curated record. NCBI's taxonomy places the organism in Eukaryota, Viridiplantae, Streptophyta, Magnoliopsida, Fabales, Fabaceae.
UGGUAAUUAUGUAUCUCUUGUUGGUAACAGUUAUCAACUUAUCAUCAAAGCUAACUAAUGACAAUUUUCAUUUAAAAAUUAUGUAUGUUAUUGGAAAUGACUAAUGGUUAAUGCGAUUUUAGAUCACAAAUUUUAGCUGUUGAUGCUAGCUACUUAAUAGCAUUGUUAGGAUUGUUACCAGUCAUGACUUUGAGGUUUAUUGUCAGAAAAUCCCUUGGGAAGUCAUGGUCUGCCAAUGCAGUUGAGGCUGCAUGCUCUCACUUGUCACAAGUUAGUUUUACUGUUGAAAGAAGGGCUUUGAUGUUAGGUCACAUUAAACAUGUAAAUUAGUGGUUUUCCCAUUUCUGAUUAUGGAUCCCUUUUCUUAUAUAGUUAUACUGGAAUACUAAUAAAAUAUAUAUGUUUUAUGAUACUGAUUCAUAUAUUAUUUACAGUAAGGUUACAUUUUUAUCUUUUCUUGUAUUGAUUUUGUCUAACUUCAAUAACUUAACAGUACCAUACCAUGCGAAAUGUCCUCUAUAUGACCUUGACUGACUUCAAAAAGGUUGGGCACUCUAUUGGUUCUUACAUAUUUGUUGGAAUAUCACUUUCUUCCCACAAGUGUGUUAGUUUUGCAUCAAAGAUUGCAGGGGUUUAGGAUCUUGGCAUGUUAGGUCGUGGCCGUGGAGAAGAGAUUGGAACAAAUGUUGAAGAACUCAUGACAAGUGAACUUUUUGGGAAUGUGAAAGAUAUAUGUCUUGUAGGAAUAUUAUCAUGUGAUAGAUAUAUAUGUUUUGUAGAUAUAUUUCUUGUUUAAACUUAAAUUUUAUCUGUAUUAUUGAGUACUUAGAAAUAUUACUUAAAUGUAAUAUAUCUUUUAUAUACAAUGAUAUGAUUAAUGCUUUUAAAUGAUUGA